Molecule: ribosomal RNA, 239 nt
Filed under: uncultured bacterium
Lineage: Bacteria
Description: partial 16S ribosomal RNA
Rfam family: Bacterial small subunit ribosomal RNA
Source: RNAcentral
UAGGGAAUCUUCCACAAUGGACGCAAGUCUGAUGGAGCAACGCCGCGUGAGUGAAGAAGGCUUUCGGGUCGUAAAACUCUGUUAUUGAAGAAGAACGUGUGUGACAGUAACUGGUCAUGCAGUGACGGUAUUCAAUCAGAAAGUCACGGCUAACUACGUGCCAGCAGCCGCGGUAAUACGUAGGUGGCAAGCGUUGUCCGGAUUUAUUGGGCGUAAAGGGUGCGUAGGCGGAUGUUUAA